GACGAACGCUGGCGGCGUGCUUAACACAUGCAAGUCGAACGAUGAAGACGAUAUACGCGAACUUCGGUUUAACUUUCACUUCGGUUAAGUGGCAGACGGCUGCGUAACGCUUUAGCAACCUUCCUCUUACAAAGGGAUAGCCUCGGGUAACCGUGAUUACUACCAUAUGACACAUUCAUAAUGCCUCUGAAGAAUGUUAAGGCUACGGCGGAUAGAGAUGUGCUUGCGUCCCAUUAGCUCGUUGGUGUGGUAACGGCACACCAAGGCGACGAUGGGUAACCGGACAGAGAGGGGGAACGGUGACACUGGAACAGAGACACGGUUCAAACUCGUACGGGAGGCGGGAGAGGGGGAAAAAGCAGAGGGGAGGGAAUGCUGAAGCAGCGAGGGCGGGUGAGCGAUGAUGGAAUUCGUAACGGAAAGCUCUGUUGAAUGGGAAGAAAAGGACUGUACCAUAUGAGAAAGCCCCGGCUAAAUACGUG
Molecule: ribosomal RNA, 482 nt
Filed under: uncultured bacterium
Lineage: Bacteria
Description: partial 16S ribosomal RNA
Rfam family: Bacterial small subunit ribosomal RNA
Source: RNAcentral